Molecule: ribosomal RNA, 1494 nt
Filed under: uncultured Bordetella sp.
Lineage: Bacteria; Pseudomonadati; Pseudomonadota; Betaproteobacteria; Burkholderiales; Alcaligenaceae
Description: partial 16S-23S ribosomal RNA intergenic spacer
Rfam family: Bacterial small subunit ribosomal RNA
Source: RNAcentral
GGGUUUGAUUCUGGCUCAGGAUUGAACGCUGGCGGAUGCUUUACACAUGCAAGUCGAACGGCAGCACGGACUUCGGUCUGGUGGCGAGUGGCGAACGGGGUAAGUGAGUAAUGUAUCGGAACGCCUAGUAGCGGGGAUAACUACGCGAAAGCGUGUAGCCAUUAUCGCAUACGUUCUUCUUCGGGGGAAAGCGGGGACCUUCGGGCCUCGCACUAUUAGAGCGGCUGAAGUAUCGGAUUAGCUAGUUGGUGGGGUAACGGCUCACCAAGGCGACGAUCCGUAGCUGGUUUGAGAGGACGACCAGCCACACUGACUGAGACACGGCCCAGACUCCUACGGGAGGCAGCAGUGGGGAAUUUUGACAAUGGGGGAAACCUCCUGAUCCAGCCAUCCCGCGUGCGAUGAAGGCCUUCGGGUUGUAAAGCACUUUUUGGCAGGAAAGAAACGGCACGGAUAAUACCCCGUGCAACUGACGGUACUGCAGAAUAAGCACCGGCUAACUACGUGCCACAGCAGCCGCGGUAAUACGUAGGGUGCGUUAAUCGGAAUUACUGGGCGUAAAGCGUAUGCGCAGGCGGUCUGGAAAGAAAGAUGUGAAAUCCCAGAGCUUAACUUUUGAACUGCAUUUUUAACUACCGAGCUAGAAAGUGUGUCAGAGGGAGGUGGAAUUCGCGUGUAGUAGCAGUGAAAUGCAUAGAUAUGCGGAGGAACACCGAUGGCGAAGGCAGCCUCCUGGGAUAACACUGACGCUCAUGCACGAAAGCGUGGGGAGCAAACAGAUUAGAUACCUCUGGCAGUCCACGCCCUAAAACGAUGUCAACUAGCUGUUGGGGCCUUCGCCUUGGAAGGCAGCUAACAAGUGAAGUUGACUGCCUGGGAGUACGGUCGCAAGAUUAAAACUCAAAGGAAUUGACGGGGACCCGGCACAAGUUGUGGAUGAUGUGGAUUAAUUCGAUGCAACGCGAAAAACCUUACCUACCCUUGACAUGUCUGGAAUCCUGAAGAGAUUUGGGAGGCGGUUUCGCGGGGAGAACCGGAACACAGGUGCUGCAUGGCUGUCGUCAGCUCGUGUCGUGAGAUGUUGGGCUAAGUCCCAACGAGCGCAACCCUUGUCACUAGUUGCCAUUUAGGCGCACCUUAAUGAGACUGCCGGUGACAAACCGAUGUAGGCUGUGGGGAUGACGUCAAGUCCUCAUGGCCCUUAUGGGGGCUUCACACGUCAUACAAUGGUCGGGACAGAGGUCGCCAACCCGCGAGGGAGCCAAUCCCAGAAACCCGAUCGUAGUCCGGAUCGCAGUCUGCAACUCGACUGCGUGAAGUCGGAAUCGUUAGUAAUCGCGGAUCAGGCAUGUCGCGGUGAAUACGUUCCCGGGUCUUGUACACACCGCCCGUCACACCAUGGGAGUGGGUUUUACCAGAAGCAGUUAGCCUAACCGUAAGGAGGGCGAUUACUACGGUAGGAUUCAUGACUGGGGUGAAGUCGUAACAAGGUAA